Long non-coding RNA from Pseudopipra pipra, 420 nucleotides. RefSeq lists it as uncharacterized. The transcript has 2 exons. The record is from RefSeq and is a predicted model, not a curated record. NCBI's taxonomy places the organism in Eukaryota, Metazoa, Chordata, Aves, Passeriformes, Pipridae.
GCGGCCCGGCCGCUCGCUUUGAUCCGCCAGUUCCUCCUGGUGCCAGAGGCUGAGAGCUGAAGGAAUGAGUGUCCUGGAAGGAGCAGUGGCCGAGAGAGCUGCCACCUCCCACGCUUUUUGGGAGAGUAAAACGCGAAACGUGGCUGUUUUGUGCAUGCGUGAUGCGGAGGACUUCUCUAAGCACGUCUUCAUGUGGGUUCUGGAGAGAAGGCUGCUGGAGGAAGGAAGGACAUACCAGCAUUGCAGAGCCUGGAAGGACCGGAAAGUGGAAGCCUCGACUUGACGCUGAAGCCCAGGAUGGAAUGUGAAGAGGGACUGAGUGUGUCUACGAGUUCCAUUUGUGGUGGUGGCAAUGUCUUCCUAGUUUUAGCUCCCGUAGUCUGGUCUCCAAACCUGCAAUACAUAACACUUUCCUGUUUA